RNAcentral lists this ribosomal RNA (253 nucleotides) under uncultured bacterium. RNAcentral's name for it is "partial 16S ribosomal RNA". It matches the Rfam family "Bacterial small subunit ribosomal RNA", at positions 524 to 776 of the family's 1533-position model. The record is from RNAcentral.
UACGGAGGGUGCAAGCGUUGUUCGGAUUUACUGGGCGUAAAGCGCACGUAGGCGGAUCGUUAAGUUAGGGGUGAAAUCCUGGAGCUCAACUCCAGAACUGCCUCUAAUACUGGCGAUCUAGAGUCCGGAAGAGGUGAGUGGAACUCCUAGUGUAGAGGUGGAAUUCGUAGAUAUUAGGAAGAACACCAGUGGCGAAGGCGGCUCACUGGUCCGGUACUGACGCUGAGGUGCGAAAGCGUGGGGAGCAAACAGG